GCAUAUCAAUAAGCCGGAGGGAAAAGAAACCAACAGGGGAUUGCCCCUAGUAACGGCGAGUGAAGCGGCAACAGCUCAAAUUUGAAAAUCUGGCGUCUUCGGCGUCCGAGUUGUAAUUUGCAGAGGGCGCUUUGGCAUUGGCAGCGGUCCAAGUUCCUUGGAACAGGACGUCACAGAGGGUGAGAAUCCCGUACGUGGUCGCUAGCCUUUACCGUGUAAAGCCCCUUCGACGAGUCGAGUUGUUUGGGAAUGCAGCUCUAAAUGGGAGGUAAAUUUCUUCUAAAGCUAAAUACUGGCCAGAGACCGAUAGCGCACAAGUAGAGUGAUCGAAAGAUGAAAAGCACUUUGGAAAGAGAGUUAAAAAGCACGUGAAAUUGUUGAAAGGGAAGCGCUUGCAGCCAGACUUGCCUGUAGUUGCUCAUCCGGGUUUCUACCCGGUGCACUCUUCUAUAGGCAGGCCAGCAUCAGUUUGGGCGGUUGGAUAAAGGUCUCUGUCAUGUACCUCUCUUCGGGGAGAACUUAUAGGGGAGACGACAUGCAACCAGCCUGGACUGAGGUCCGCGCAUCUGCUAGGAUGCUGGCGUAAUGGCUGUAAGCGGCCCGUCUUGAAACACGGACCAAGGAGUCUAACAUCUAUGCGAGUGUUUGGGUGUCAAGCCCGAGCGCGUAAUGAAAGUGAACGGAGGUGGGAACCUUUCGGGGUGCACCAUCGACCGAUCCUGAUGUCUUCGGAUGGAUUUGAGUAAGAGCAUAGCUGUUGGGACCCGAAAGAUGGUGAACUAUGCUUGAAUAGGGUGAAGCCAGAGGAAACUCUGGUGGAGGCUCGCAGCGGUUCUGACGUGCAAAUCGAUCGUCAAAUUUGGGCAUAGGGGCGAAAGACUAAUCGAACUAUCUAGUAGCUGGGUUCUGCGAAG
RNAcentral lists this ribosomal RNA (914 nucleotides) under Didymella musae. RNAcentral describes it as "LSU rRNA". It matches the Rfam family "Eukaryotic large subunit ribosomal RNA", at positions 38 to 966 of the family's 3401-position model. Lineage: Eukaryota; Fungi; Ascomycota; Dothideomycetes; Pleosporales; Didymellaceae. The record is from RNAcentral.